UGCAAAUCAAUAUAAAUUGAAUUUAAAAUUUAUUUAUUAAUUAAAUUUUUUUUUAUUCUUUUAAUUUAUUUUUAUUAAAAAUAAUUAUACAAUUAAUUUGUUUUAGUAAUUAUUAAUGAAAAAAUAAUUUUAAUUAUAGUUUAUUUGUAUUGUAAAAGAUUAUUGAAAUAUAUUGAAAAAUUUUUAUUAAAUAAGAAAAAUUUAAUUUUUGUACCUUGUGUAUCAGGGUUUAUUAAAUAAUUAAUAACUAUUUUAUUGAUCUCGAUUUUAUAAGAGUUAAUAAUUUAUAAAAUUUAAUGUGUCAAAAUUAUUUUAAAUAAAUUGUUAGAAAUGAAAUGUUAUUCGUUUAUAAAUGUAUCUAGUUUUUUUAGAAAUAAAUUUAAUUUAUGAAUUUUUAAUUUAUUUAUUAAUUUUUAAAUAAAUAAAUUUAUUAAUUCAAUUAUUUUAAGGGAUAAGCUUUAAAAUAAAUUAUUAUAAAUAAAAUAAUUUUAAAGUUAAAAAUAUAUGCUUAGAAUUAGCAAUUAUUAUUAAUUUUGUUAAAAAUUAUUUAUUAAAAUAGUAAUAUUUAUUUAUAUUUUAAUUUUUUAUAAAAAUUUUUAUAAAAAUUUUAAUUAUAAAUUAAUAAUGAUAAAAUUAGUAUAUAUUUAAAUGUAAAAAUAAUUUUUAUUGAAAAUUUUAUAUAAAGAACUCGGCAAAUAUUUUACUCGCCUGUUUAACAAAAACAUGUCUUUUUGAGUUAAUUUUAAAGUCUAACCUGCCCAAUGAAAUUUUUAAUGGCCGCAGUAAAUUAACUGUGCAAAGGUAGCAUAAUCAUUAGUCUUUUAAUUGAAGGCUUGUAUGAAUGGUUGGACGAAGUAUAAUCUGUUUCAUAAAAAUUUAUAAUAGAAUUUUAUAUUUUAGUAAAAAAGCUAAAAUUUUAUUAAAAGACGAGAAGACCCUAUAAAUCUUAAUAGUUUUUAUAAUUUAAUUUUUAUAGAUUUUUUAAAAUUUAAUUAUAAAAAUUAUUUUAUUGGGGUGAUAUUAAAAUUUAAAAAACUUUUAAUUUUUUUUUUCAUUUAUUUAUGUUUUGUUGAUCCUUUAUUAAUGAUUAAAAGAAUAAGUUACUUUAGGGAUAACAGCGUAAUUUUUUUGGAGAGUUCUUAUUGAUAAAAAAGUUUGCGACCUCGAUGUUGGAUUAAGAAAUAUUUUAGGUGUAGUUGCUUAAAUAAAUAAGUCUGUUCGACUUU
This 1226-nucleotide ribosomal RNA is filed under the name Euaresta festiva. RNAcentral describes it as "partial 16S ribosomal RNA". The record is from RNAcentral. Lineage: Eukaryota; Metazoa; Arthropoda; Insecta; Diptera; Tephritidae.